GCGGUGUUUGCGGACUUUUGGAGCUACAGUAUUCCGAAAACUUGAAAAUUGA
This 52-nucleotide small RNA is filed under the name Caenorhabditis elegans. RNAcentral's name for it is "Unclassified non-coding RNA T05C7.3". Lineage: Eukaryota; Metazoa; Nematoda; Chromadorea; Rhabditida; Rhabditidae. The record is from RNAcentral.